GAUGAACGCUAGCGGCAGGCCUAACACAUGCAAGUCGAGGGAGAAGCCCUUUCGGGGGCAGAAACCGGCGCACGGGUGCGUAACGCGUAUGCAACCUACCUUUCACAGGAGGAUAGCCCGAAGAAAUUUGGAUUAAUACCCCAUAAUAUUAUUGGAUGGCAUCAUUUGAUAAUUAAAGCUACGACGGUGAAAGAUGGGCAUGCGUCCUAUUAGCUAGUUGGAGUGGUAACGGCACCCCAAGGCUACGAUAGGUAGGGGUCCUGAGAGGGAGAUCCCCCACACUGGUACUGAGACAGGGACCAGACUCCUACGGGAGGCAGCAGUGAGGAAUAUUGGUCAAUGGUCGGAAGACUGAACCAGCCAUGCCGCGUGCAGGAAGAAUGCCUUAUGGGUUGUAAACUGCUUUUAUAUGGGAAGAAUAAGGCGUACGUGUACGUNGANGACGNUNCCA
This 451-nucleotide ribosomal RNA is filed under the name uncultured bacterium. RNAcentral describes it as "bacterial SSU rRNA". It matches the Rfam family "Bacterial small subunit ribosomal RNA", at positions 28 to 480 of the family's 1533-position model. The record is from RNAcentral.